CUUUGACCUCGAAUCAGGUGGGACUACCCGCUGAACUUAA
RNAcentral lists this ribosomal RNA (40 nucleotides) under Multiclavula vernalis. RNAcentral's name for it is "partial 28S ribosomal RNA". The record is from RNAcentral. RNAcentral also lists the same sequence under 1 other name. Lineage: Eukaryota; Fungi; Basidiomycota; Agaricomycetes; Cantharellales; Hydnaceae.